Molecule: unclassified non-coding RNA, 182 nt
Filed under: rhizosphere metagenome
Description: partial ribosomal RNA internal transcribed spacer region
Source: RNAcentral
GAGUUCAUGCCCUCACGGGUAGAUCUCCACCCUUGAAUAAUAAACAUUGUUGCUUUGGCGGAUCGCUUCGGCUACUGGCUUCGGUUGGUAAGUGUCCGCCAGAGAACCAUAAACUUUGAAUUACAGUGUCGUCUGAGUACUAUAUAAUAGUUAAAACUUUCAACAACGGAUCUCUUGGUUCU